This 597-nucleotide ribosomal RNA is filed under the name Hoplothrips karnyi. Its description in RNAcentral is "SSU rRNA". It matches the Rfam family "Eukaryotic small subunit ribosomal RNA", at positions 4 to 579 of the family's 1831-position model. The record is from RNAcentral. Lineage: Eukaryota; Metazoa; Arthropoda; Insecta; Thysanoptera; Phlaeothripidae.
CUGGUUGAUCCUGCCAGUAGUCAUAUGCUUGUCUCAAAGAUUAAGCCAUGCAUGUGUAAGUGCAAGCCGAAUUAAGGCGAAACCGCGAAAGGCUCAUUACAUCAGUUGUGGUUCCUUGGACCGUACCCAGUUACUUGGAUAACUGCGGAAAAUCUGGAGCUAAUACAUGCCGACAGAGUCCCGACCAGAGAUGGGAGGGACGCUUUUAUUAGAUCAAAACCAAAAAUCCCCGCCCCUCGGGGUGGGGAAAACGGUUAAGGUGACUCUGAAUAACUUUGUGCCGAUCGCACGGCCCCCGCGCCGGCGACGCGUCUUUCAAAUGUCUGCCUUAUCAACUUUCGAUGGUAGGCUCUGCGCCUACCAUGGUUGUAACGGGUGACGGGGAAUCAGGGUUCGAUUCCGGAGAGGGAGCCUGAGAAACGGCUACCACAUCCAAGGAAGGCAGCAGGCGCGCAAAUUACCCACUCCCGGCUCGGGGAGGUAGUGACGAAAGAUAACGAUGCAGGACUCUUUUGAGGCCCUGUAAUCGGAAUGACUACAUUUUAAAUCUCUUAAGGAGUAUCAAUUGGAGGGCAAGUCUGGUGCCAGCAGCCGCGG